Meriones unguiculatus (Mongolian gerbil) is the source of this 9962-nucleotide long non-coding RNA. RefSeq lists it as uncharacterized. The transcript has 3 exons. The record is from RefSeq and is a predicted model, not a curated record. Lineage: Eukaryota; Metazoa; Chordata; Mammalia; Rodentia; Muridae.
AUGAGCUGGCGCCCGGGAAUGCGCACACGGGACGUCCUGAGCCACGUCGGAGCUGUUCCCGUAAAGCUGCCCCAGCUCAGGACUGCCAACCCUGCUUUUGUCCCAGGUUAGAACUCGCGCCCACGGACCUCCCGGGCCACUGGCUGGUUCUCUGCCGCCACCUAGAGGACACUCCCCAGGGCUCCUAGGCCCGUUGCAUGAAGGGACUGACCUCGGGUUUGAUCUUACAACCGCCUCUCUCUGGGCACUGGGGCAGGUGUGGAAAAACUCCUUUUCCUAACACGAACGGCCCCGAAUUUCAGCUCUCGUUGUUUAUUACUUGCACCAUUCUCACUGAGUGACUUCCCCUUCUGAGCUUCAGCGUUCUCACUUGUAAAAUGGGAAGAAGAAAAAAAGGGAAGAAAUAAAGAGAGAAAGAGAAAAAGAAAGAGAGGGAGAAAGAAAGAGAGGGAGAAAGAAAGAAAGAAAGAAAGAAAGAAAGAAAGAAAGAAAGAAAGAAAGAAAGAGAGAGAGAGAAAGAGAGAAAGAGAGAAAGAAAAGAAGGAAGAAAGAAAGAAAAGAAGGAAGAAAGAAAAGAAGGAAGGAAGAAAGGAACGGACACGGGGCCUGGCCGCUUACUGAAGUUGGAGCAAGGCUGGCGCCUCUGUGAACUUCCUGCGAACCCGCAAGGACUUGGAGCAAGAACCCUGGGUGCUCAGGCUCACGGCUAAGUAUCAGUCUAAUCAAAAGUCACCGCCCAGACAAGGAGGUUCUGACGGUAUUGCCGUGCGAGGUGGACAGUGAGUGGUGCACCGCCUGGGAAGCCUCUGAACCUGGCAACGACAGAACCUGUUUUUCCUCCCUGACACACCCCAAUGACAGCCCGCCUCGAGCAACAGGAAGGGUGCCGUUAACCUGGCCUCGGCCCUGCUCACACACUUGCUCGGGGGUGGGAGGGCUCUGCUGCCAGGGCCAGCAGGGAGAGGGCGGAAACGGGAAAUGGCGCGCUCAGGACCUACAGUCACCGUCCACAGAGGCGGCGCUGUCGCUCGGCUUCCGCGUUCGCUGGGACCUAAGGUGACAGCUGCAGAUUACAGAUCCUCAGGUAGCGUGCACCUCUGGAAUGCUGGCUCAUAGGGACCGCUAUACCAACCCCCAGGUUGGAGUUGUUUUUUUUUUUUUCUUUAGAUGGCAGCCUGCCAUGCACCCCAACAGCACUGAGUAAAAUGUUUAUCCUGUUUCUUGCUCUAUUCCGGCUUCCGCUCCAACCAACGUGAGGCACCUGAAUCAGAUUCCCAGAUCCCACAGCUGUGGUUCCAGAGCAGACCUUUGCCUAAAUUCCCCAGAGGGCCUACAGGAGAAACCAACGGUCGGUCAAGCAGCCAGCAUCUUCAGACUCCCUGCUGCCGCCUGACUUCUUAAAUUGGCGUAAGACGUCUUUGAAGCUCCUGGCCAACAGUUGAAAGGGUGAAGAAACUGGGCACGACGCCUCAUGUCUGUAAUCCCAGCAUAGACGACAGGAGGCAGGACAAUUCCUGUGAGUCUGAGGCUAGCCUGUGAUGUGUAGUGAGUUUGGGGUCAGCCUUAGCUGCCGAGUAAGAACCUAUCUCAAGAAUACAAAAACAAAGCAAACAAAAAACGCACAACAAAACAAAACAAAACAGGGGGCCGGCAGGUAAAAGCACCUGCCGCACCAGUCUGAAGACCUGAGUUUGUUUUCCGCCGUCGUCGACCGAGCUCCACUUGUGGCCACGGUUGCCCCACCCCCACGGCAAUAAUAAACGGAUAACUUUGGAAAUCAACAAUUAAAUAAAAUUGAUGAGAUUUUAAAGGAAGGCUGAAAACAAAAUAAGCAAACGAUGAAAACAAGACCCCACUGCAACUGCUCUCUCCUCGUGGAUCUUACUGUGACACAAGUGUUCGACGUUGCUGUGUGUAAUUUGGCUAUCUAUAGAAGCCAGGAAACCUGAAGGAGCUAUGGAGCAGGCAGAGCUUGGGGAGCUAAGAGAAAUCAAGCUGGAGCAGAUAUGGAAGCGUCCUGCCUAUUGGCUAGCUUUCAUAGAACCAGAAAGUGCUCUGCCGAGGGAGGUUUCGGAAAAGUCACCGACAGAGUUGUCUACACAUGAAUCCGACAAGCUGCACCAAUAAUUGGCCUGCCAAGGUACACCCGUGGAUGUCAUAGUGCCAUGCUAACAGGGGUUAGCAACUGCUUUCUGAUUGGGUUUCAGGCUAAAUCUGCAGGAAGAAACACACAGCUGGUACUGUAAAUCUAGCCAAGAACCCACGAAUGGGAUCUCAUAAGCCCUGGGAGUAAACCUACUACUACUAUUUUGCUAAAUUGGCACAGCAUCAAACUGCCUUUGUUAUGCAUUAUCUCUUACAAUAGGUUAGUGAAGCUCUCAUGCAAAAAAAUUUUAAUAUUUAUUUUUAUGUCUAUGAAUGCUCUAUCUGCAUGUACACCUGCACACCAGAAGAGGGCAUCCGAUCUCAUUAUAGAUGGCUACGAGCCUCCAUGUGGUGGCUGGGAAUUGAACUCAGGACCUCUGGAAGAGCAGACAAUGCUCUUAACCUCUGAGCUAUCUCUUCAGCCUGAGGCUCUCAUUCUUAAUUGUAGAAAAGGGUCUUUGGGCAGUGGAUGGUGGUUGGUAUGGACUCAUGACUGGUCAAAUGCAGAAAACAAGUGACUACAGGCGCUCAGCCGUAAGUGAAGUAUUUAUAUUACACCCCGUAACAGUUACUUUUUGUUGUGAUAAAAUAACAUGACCAAAAAAUAGCUUGUGGAAGAGUUUAUUUUGGCUCAUUGUUCCAAAGAGAUAAGGGUCCGUCAUGGUGGGGAGAGUGCAGCAAGGGGGCGGCAUGGCAGCUGAGCAGGAAGCCAAGAGAUCACUUUCAAUUGCACAAAAGAUUCAGAGAGUGUGAACUCUAAGAGUGGGGUUACACACUCUCAAAACUCAACCCUAGGGAUGCAUGUCCUCUGGGAGGGCUCCACACCUCCGUAGGUUCCAUUCCUCUUCAAACAGCACCACCAACUAGAGACCAAGCGUUCAAAUAUCUGAGCCUGUGGGGAACACUUCUUAAUUAAACUACUAUCUGUCCCCUCCCCACACAGCUCAAGAAACAGUGUGGAAUCGGACUGGGUGGUUAAUGUUCUCUUUCCAUUUACUGACUUAAGGUUUGGUCUGCUCUCUUUGUGGGGUCAUAAAGAGUAUCGUUAUUUAUCUGAGACCUCUCUGAUUUCUGAUUUCUUUUUUCUUUUUUCCCCCAAGACCAGAUUUCUCUGUGUAGCCUUAGCUGUCCUGGACUCGCUUUGUCAGAGCAGGCUGGCCCCGAACACACUGAGAUCCACCUGCUUCUUCCUUCCCGAGUGCUGGGAUUACAGGCGUGCGCCUCCUUACCCGGCUUUUCCUCUCCGAUUUCUUAAUGUAGGAGGAGGCACAACUGUAAACUUUCCUCAUAGGACUGCCUCCUUGUGUCUCAAAGGUCGGGUGUAUUGUUUUCAUUCUCUAGGAAUUCUUUUCUCUUUGAUUUGUUUAAGGACCAAUUUCCCACUCAGUGGUGUGUAGUGUGGCCUAGGCUCUCUCUUGCUACUGAUUUGUAGUCUUAAUCCAUUGUGAUCAGAUCGAAUACAAGGAGUUUUUUUUUUUUCAGUUUUCCUACAUUUAUUUAGAUUUGCUUUGUGUCCUAAUAUAUAUUUGAGAGAAUAUGCAAUAGAAUGCUGAUAAAAACCAGUAGUCUAUGAGUAGUAUGAUCUAUAGAUAUUUGGUAAGUUCAUUUGAUCCCUGAUGUCAUUGUUUUUUUAAUCUAUGAUGUCAGAUAUUUCUAGUUGUUUUCUUUUCAGAAAGACCUGAUAGUUGGUGAGACUGGGGUACUGAAGUCACUCACUGCAACUGUGCUAGGGCGAGUCUAUGACUUUACCUCUAGCACUAGUUUAUGAAAUUGGGGCGUAUACACUGAAAACCACAAUGUUCUCCUGAUUCAUUCUCUUCAUCAGCAUGAAGUGCCCUUCUCUGUCUUCUGUCACUAGUUUUGGACUGGAGUCUAUUUUAUUAGAUAUUAAAACAGACCCCUGCUUUUUCGCCUAAUUCUGUUUGCUUAGGUUUAUUUCCCCACCCUUGUGGCUUAAGGUCAGAACUUUCUUGUGGUAAGGUGUGUUUCUUUGAGGCAAAAAAAAUACAUGGUUUAUGUUCAUCCCUGAUUUCUGAUCCAAACUACUGGUCUUUGACUUUUGACUGAGAAAUUGAGGCCAUUAACAUUCAGUGUUACUGUUGAAAGAUGUGUAUUUAUUCAUGUCACUUGAUUUUGUAGUGUCUCUUAUGCCCUCUUGCCUUCCUCUCUUUCUUCACUAUUCUAGUGUGGUCUUUUCUUUCCUGUGGCUUGUGGUUAGGUUUGUGUUUUUCUUCAGUCUGAGAAGUUCUUUCAGUUAUCUUCUGCAGAGCUGACUUCACGGCCAUAAAUUCUUAGUCUUUGUUGAAAGUUUACUUUUUCCUUCAGUUAUGAGAAAUUGCAUUGGUGAGUAUAGCAGUAUGAGUCGGCAGUUGUUUCUUUCGGAACGUGAAGUAGAUCUUUCCAAGCCCUCCCAGCUCUUAAACGUCCAGGUGACAAAUCUAUGUCAUUCUGAUGGGCCUGUUUUUAUGGUAACUUGCUGCAUCUCACCUGUUACUUUGAAUAUGCUGUCUUUGCUAAAAUUAAAGUCUUCUUCUGUUGGGCCAAUAACCCAUAAAUCUAGCCUUUUACCUUUUUUAAAGAUUGAUAUUUUUUUGUUUUAAUUUUGUAAGUAUGGAUGUUUUGUUUGAAUGUAUGUAUAUGUAUUAUAUGUGUGCAGUGGCUAGGAUGCCGGAAGAGCACUUUAGAUCCCCUAUAACUGGAAUUAAAGAUGACUAUAAAUUGCUGUAUGGCUGCUGGAAUCAAACCCAAAUCCUCUAGAAUAGCAGCCAGCGCUUUAAACAGCUGAGCCAUCUAGCUAUGCCAAAUCUAGCCAUUUCAGGAUAUCACUUGUGUCUUGAAAUUCUUACAGAUGUUUUAAAAAAUAUUUUAUUGUUGUCUGUAUUGACUCGUUGUUCUUUGUCUUUUGAGUUCAGAUGAUUUAUCUUCCCUGUGAUCUAUUCUCUUGGUGAGACUUCCCACACAGCGAGACCUGCAAGACAAUUAAAAACAAAACUCAGCAAUUAUGAUCUUUAAAAGUCAAUCACGUUAAAAAAAGAAAAAAAGAAAAAAGAAAAACAAGCAAAAAGCAGCUAUAGUGUUUAAGUAUUUCAGGGUAGAGGACCCCAAAAGUGAAAGAUUCACCCCCACCUUGAAUAAACACCAAAAAUGUCCUUUUCCCCUUUGACAGCACCACCCUUGGGGGACAGAGAUACUGAAAGUGUUUAAGCCAAAAAAGUCUUUGGCUCUGCUCUGCCCAGAGGCCAGUGAUGCCAGAGAGCGGGUGGGAGUCUGGAUUCUUGCUCUUCUCCCUAAAUGAGCAUCCCUUUUCUUGGAAACUGUGUGUAAGGAUAUAACUAAAACCGAGGGGUGUCUGAACUCCUUGUAAUUGGGAAUUAUACUGGCUAGUUCCUACUCCCACUGCACCUCAUCAAGUAAAGCUUUGCUAACUCUAAGUGCCUGUAGUCUCACCUCACUCCCAGAGAGGUGCUCCUGUGGCCUCUCCUUUUCUCUUUCUCUUAAGAUCCCACCUAGGAAUCUGUAAUCAAUUUCUUUCUAAGACUCAGCCUCUGAGGCCUAUGACUUUCAUUCUUCGAAUUUGUGGGGUGAGACCAUGAAAGCCACUGGCUCAUUGUGACUGGGUACCCAGCACCCUAACUCCUGGGCUUAGUUUAUCAGGAGCCAUAAAUGGGUCUGACACUCUCAAAGACACCCCAAAAGUUCGUGUAUCACUGGGAUAAUCUUUGACUUACUGCUUUUUUUUUUUUUUUCAGAGCCAGUAUUUUUCUUUUCCAAGAGUCUGUCUCUGUCCUUGUCUGUCUUUGUCUCUGUCUCUCUGUCACACACACACACACACUCCCUAGGCUACUGUGUGUUCAUUGCUCCUCAGGAAAAGUGAACCAGUCUGGCCCAGUGCAUAGCAGCUUACAAAUCCUGCCUGAGUUACUAGAACUGAACACCACAGACUGGGAGCUGACAAGGAGCAGAAUCUGUUGCCUCACAGUUCAGGAGGCUGAGAAGUCCAAUGUGAUGGUGCUGACAAUGGCCUCUUGCUCAAGAAAGUUAAGAGUCUGAAAGAGCAAUGGGAAAUAUGGAUGACACCAAACUCCCUCUGGUGACCAACUCACACUUGUGAUAAUGGAACAAAUUCCCUCCCAGACUAAUUAUCUCUUAAAAGUCCCAUUCUUAACAAUGCCAUAGUGUUUGCAUUUCAACAUGAGAUUUGUUUGUUUAUGGUUAGGUCUCCCUGUGUUGCCCUGUCUGGCUUUCAACUUCUGUUUUCAGCCAUUUUUCUAUCUUAGCCUCCUGAGUAGCUUUGAGUACAGGCGUGGACCAUCAUGUUAGGGCUUCUGUGUAAGUGAAGGGCUCAUUCGAUCCAUAGCAACCAACCCUCCCCAACAAUACCAAAGAUUCCCUAACCUAAAAAUAGGGCCAAGACAUAAAGGAAAUAAUGAGGCAAGGGUCAGAGAAGCACUGUGGGUGUAGUUCAAGCAGCCAGACUUCCCUGAGGCAAGAGAAAGAAGGUUACGGGUCAAACAGUUGAGCAUGCUGGGAGCUAACGAACACCUAUGAGGGGUCCUGGCCAGAGGCAGAACAGAAGAGCCUUGGCUGAGCUUCUGUUUAGUGAGAUUUCUUCCCUUCACUCCCAGGAAAUGAGCUUAAGGAGGAAUUGAACUGUGAACCUUCUCAAAACUGUGCUCCACAAGUCCCUGAACUUUACUGCCUGUCCGGUCACCAGAGUUCAUCUGAAGGUCCCGAGCAGCUGAAGGAAGCUGUGUGCAUACAUGCUAGUGUGUGUGUGUGCGCACGCUCGCGUGUGUGUGACCUGAAGAAAUAAUUCAGAGCCCCUCAGACUUGCUCUGUUUUGAUCUGAGAUCUUCUUUCUAUUAUUGCUCAUACCAAGAAACACCCUUCGAAAGCACAAAGGUUAUCUGAUCAUCUCCCUUGACAGCUUGGCCCACCUUGAAGCCGGCACCCUCACCUCCUCCCUGGGAAGAAGUGGCAUCCCAUGUAUGACCAUGGAUGAUUAAAACAUGAACACCUUGUCUUUGGUGGCUGUUUGCUCAAAUGUGUUAGUGCCUACCUUUUCAUGAACAUACAUACAAAAGCAGUUGCCAUGUGUCAUCUUAGAAGGCAAAAGUAUGUAUAUUAAGAGGGUUUUUUGUUUGUUUUGUUUUUGCUGGGAAGUGGUCCUAGCACUUGGGAGGCAGAGACAGGUGGAUCUCUGAGUUUGAGGCCAGCAUGGUUUACAGAGUGAAUUCCAGGACAGCCAGGGCUACACACAAAAAAAAAUCCUAUCUCGAAAAACAAACAAAAAAGACAGUUUUUUCAUUUUUUAAAUUGUGGACCAGCCUGAUGAGGUGGCAGAAACCUUUAAUUUCAGCACUUGGGAGCAGAGGUGGGGGGUAUCUUUGUGAGUUUGAGGCCAGCCAGGUUUACACAGUGAGUUCUAGGCCAGCCUGGGAGGGAUACAUAGAGAGCUUCUCAUUCUCCAAACAUUGUGAACCAAAGGUGUAAAACCUGUUCAUGUUUAAGAUAUCCACUGUGGCGUUAUUAUAACCUGAUCAGUUCAUAAACAGUGACUGCUGAUUACACAAAAGGAAUAGUUUCUUUUUUCUCUUCUUAGGCUUUCAUACAGUACAGCCCUCUAACGAAACAGGCCUGUCUCCAACCCUUGGUGACAGGGCUGUUCACCUUUAUACCAAGAAGUCUGGGAAAGUACCCCAGCCUGAAUGUGGUGUGCACCCAGGCAGACUUCCAGGGUUCAUGGUGUAAGACCUAAAGUCCUUAGGAGAUUAUCUAAAACAAAGAUGCAGUCAUCAGGGCCUGCCAGACCUGUUACAGGACAGAGCAUGCUUUUGUACUGAGGAGCAGAAAAUUGUGAAAGUGUUGAAGGCACAAACGCAGAAUCAGAAAGCUAAAUAAACACGAAGCUUUUUUUAAGUGAAAAUAAAAAAAGUGGGGUGGGGAUGGGGGUUGUAACUUUUAUGGCCCCUAAAAGGAUGAUCUGUAGCAUGCUACUGAUUACCUUAUCAGCAAACGGGGCUCAGCUUUCCUUAGCCCUUCAGACAGUCACUUUUAAUCAGGGUAUGGCCAGCCAAGUGUUGGAGAUAAAAAGUGAACAGAACAGGGCUGGCCAAAUGACUUAGUGGCUAAAGCCAUGGCCAUCAAAUCCCAUGGCCUGAGUUUGCUCCUCGGCCCCCACGCCAUGGGAGGAGAGAACCUAUUUCCUCAAGUCAUUCUCUGACCCCCAUUCAUGCACAGUUGUACAUGUACACACACAAAUUAGAUAAGCAGAAUUUUAAAAAGGAAUGGGCAGAGCUCUUGUCGGCAGUAAAAUUUAUGCCCCAAAUACUGACAACAUAUUUACCCCAUCUGAGAGUUCCUCUUUAUAAGCUUCUCUGAGCUUAUUUGGUAUCUAAAAAAAAAAAAAAAAAAAAAAAAUCUUUGCUAGGAUCUUUCAAAUUCUAGCAUUGAAACUUGUGUACAAAGGAGGUAUAUUUUCCCAGCAGAUACUGACAGCCAUGCUUAAGUUUAACUUGAGUCUGAAUGCUUGUUGAAAUUCAACCUGAAAAGCAGCAAAUGAAGCUAUAUAGCCUGGUCCAGUGCCUGGUAAUUAGAUAGCUACUACUCAAUAAAUUCUAGUACCUUUCUAUAUGAAGCAUCAAACCUGAACCAGGCCAUGAUCACAAGAAAAUUAGCAUAGUUCUUAAGGUAAGAAAUAAUAUUAGGGGACAGUGGUGGCUCAGCCUUUAAUCCCAGCACUCAGGAGGCAGAGGCAGGCAGAUCUCUGUGAGUUGGAGGUCAGCCUGGUCUACAGAAUGAGUUAGUUCAAGGACAGCUAGAGUAAAUCCUGUCUCAAAAAAACAAAGAAAGGAAGAAAGAAAACAGAAAAAAAGAGUGUAAGGCUUUGCGGAUGUUAUGGUAAAUUGAGGCAGCAAACACCAAGCGUAUGGUCCUCUAUUUUUAUCUUUCCUGACUCAUGGCACUCAUUGCUAGCCGAUCACUGGCCUUUGCCACAGAGCCUGACCUUAGCUCUAGCUAGAAUCCUCUCAGUAAACGAUGUAAUCAUUUGCUACCUCCAAGCCAGGAGAAAGAGGUGGAGGAUGGAGAAAUUCUUUCUUAUCUUGUUUAACCCAUCUGUGAAACAGAGGCUCUCAUUUUACACAACCAUUCCAUAUAGCUAUUAUGGGGCAAAGAGGAACGAGGAAGUGUUUGAAAGAUUGAAAAGGACAAGGUAGUCCCGGAAGAGCCCUGUCACUCACCUCUCCUACCAGCAGAGUUUUGUUAAAGUCUGUUUAAGACAGAGGGGAUCUGGGACAGAUUCCGGGUUUUUGUUCGGUUGGUUGGUUUGGUUUUUUGAAACAGUCUCACCUGUGGAGCAUGUUGGCCUCACACUGUUGUCCUCUUGCCUCUGCCUCUGACAGGCUCUUGUCCCAGAAGGACUCUCCUUGAGCCAGUGAGGUGGCUGAACAGGCAAAGGUGUUUGCUGUGCAAACCUAAGGACCCCAGUUCAAGUCCCAGGGCUCAGUGGCAGAAUGCCAGCCAGGUAGAAUAUGAAAUGCUCUGUGCCCCGACUCCUCCCACCCCCCAAAAGGUGACUGCAAUAAUAUUUUUUAAAAGGGCUUUCUUUUUACAAAUAAGGAAGAAAACAGAUGAAAAAGGCAUAGUGAGAGAGAAGGUGACAUGCGCUGGAGGCAGAGGCAGGAGGUAAGGUUACAGUCCCGUUAGGCCUCUUCCGCAACAGAGUUUGUAAUGGGUUACGAGGCAGCAUUGGGCUUGUCCCUCAUCAUCCCCGUUUGCCUCCAACCUGGGCUCCAGGCACUUACUCAGAGCCCUUC